GACUGCUAGUCGAGCGCUUCCUAGCCAAUUUGGGAGCGCGGCGUACAGCUCAGUAACACGUGGCUAACCUGCCCUUGGGACGAGGACACCCCCGGGAAACUGGGGCUAAUCCUCGAUAGGUGAAGAACUCUGGAAUGAGUCUCCACCCAAAAGACGCUUACGCUAUGCUUUUAGGCGCCGCCCAAGGAUGGGGCCGCGACCGAUCAGGUUGUUGGUGAGGCAACGGCUCACCAAGCCUUCUACCGGUGCGGGCCGUGGGAGCGGGAGCCCGGAGAUGGGCACUGAGACAAGGGCCCAGGCCCUACGGGGCGCAGCAGUCGCGAAAACUUUGCAAUACACGAAAGUGUGACAGGGCUAUCCCGAGUGCCAUCCGCUGAGGAAGGCUUUUACCCAGUUUAGCACGCUGGGGGAAUAAGGAGAGGGCAAGACUGGUGUCAGCCGCCGCGGUAAUACCAGCUCUCCGAGUGGUGUGGAUGUUUAUUGGGCCUAAAGCAUCCGUAGCUGGCCAAGUUAGUCCCCUGUUAAAUCCACCGAUUUAAUCGUUGGUGUGCGGGGGAUACUGCUCGGCUAGGGGACGGGAGAGGCAGACGGUAUUUCCGGGGUAGGGGUGAAAUCCUAUAAUCCCGGGAGGACCACCAGUGGCGAAGGCUGUCUGCUAGAACGCGCCCGACGGUGAGGGAUGAAGGCUGGGGGAGCGAACCGGAUUAGAUACCCGGGUAGUCCCAGCUGUAAACGAUGCAGCUAGGUGUUUGGACGGCCACGUGCCGUUCUAGUGCCGCAGGAAGCCGUUAAGCCUGCCGCCUGGGGAGUACGGUCGCAAGCUGAACUUAA
Molecule: ribosomal RNA, 831 nt
Filed under: uncultured crenarchaeote
Lineage: Archaea; Thermoproteati; Thermoproteota
Description: bacterial SSU rRNA
Rfam family: Archaeal small subunit ribosomal RNA
Source: RNAcentral